Long non-coding RNA from Syzygium oleosum, 1435 nucleotides. RefSeq lists it as uncharacterized. NCBI's taxonomy places the organism in Eukaryota, Viridiplantae, Streptophyta, Magnoliopsida, Myrtales, Myrtaceae. The transcript has 2 exons. The record is from RefSeq and is a predicted model, not a curated record.
CUUUGACCAUCUUCUUAUCUAUAUCUGCGAUGGGAUGUAAAUUCAUUAUAUCUCUUGGCGAAGAAUCCCGAGAGGAAUCUGUUCCGUGGCGGUUGAUGCCUUGGACGCGGCCAAAACCCGUAUUGGCAACUUUGAGAGGGCGAGUCAUUGAUUUCGUAAGGAACCCAACCUCGAGUAAAGAAUAUUGGCUUUUAUGAUUAUGCCAUGCCAUGAGAAUUAUGUCGACCUAAGUUAUGAUUGGCAUAGAUUUGGCCAGUAGGUGAUUUGACAUUUGAGAGCCCAUUCACGACUAUGCUUGCAUCUGUGGAGCUUAAGCUCUGAGAGUUUUUAUGCAGGGAUGUAGGAGCAUUAUGUUUCUUGGUUUUUUGUGGGUCUAGGCCUCAAAAGGAGCACUCGAAGCAAUCUUAAUUAGAAGAUGGCGAUUAUUAAGGGGCGGGUGUUUGAUUUUUGAAUAAUUCAACCGGACAUUUCUUGUCUGAUGCGGGACUUAAAAUGCCACAGAUGCAUAUCCCUCGUAGCUCUCGAUAUCGCGUGCAGAUGCAUCUCGGACCCUUUCUAUUUUUCUCGACGAGGUAUUACGUUUUGAGCGGGAAGUACGGAGUUCAUUUUCAGAGAAGAGUCAAAUAUUGCCAACUGACAUGUCAGGUGCCGUAGGAGGUGGUAAGUAAGCGAAGGCAUGUGCGUGUUCUUAGUAAAAAAGGAAGACUUAAGGCGCCGGAAUGGAACGCGAUGAGAGAUGACCGAGGUUGCAGAAACGGUCACGGCUGGGAGAGAAGCCGCCCGAGGUUGACCGCAUCUGAGGCCUACAGCCUCAUUGCCACGUAAUCCCUCCCUCUCUCAUUGUCUUCGCGUGAAAUAAUUAUUCCCCCAUUAGCGUAUUAGCUUAGCCACCUUCCCUUUAAGCUCAAGGCAGUAAGCACUCCAUUGAUCAGCAAAAGCAGCCGUGAUGAACGGAUCUCAUUGAGCUUGCAUUCGGCAGUCGCCAGAUUUGCUGAUGGCCCUUCUUCACCUCUACUUCGAAACGAACGUGGGCACGUUCGCACGGGGAAGAGGCUGUGCCCUCAUCUCACGGUUGCCAUAUUUUCUCUGCCCUUGACAUUUUGACAGCAGCUGCACCAGGUCGCGCGACCAUCGAUCAUAUAUCGGGCACCGUUUUCAGUGCUUCCGGUGCAAGAAAAAACAAACGAAGAAGAACUUCCUUUCAAUCUCCAUCGGUCCUGCGAAGACAAAAGCAUCCCCUCCUGUUCAGAAGAAUUUUUGCCGCUGCUCGACACGAAGUUCUCGAUAAGUCUCGAAAGACAAAACGCAUCCGAAGCGUGGACAAUGUGAUAGUGAACGGAUUUUUUUAGGCGACCUAACGAUUAGGCCGAGUUGAAUUUCCAACGGAAUGUAGUGUGCCGAAUAUCAAUAGAUUUCACGCGGUCCCUUUCUGUCU